RNAcentral lists this ribosomal RNA (2389 nucleotides) under human gut metagenome. RNAcentral describes it as "bacterial LSU rRNA". It matches the Rfam family "Bacterial large subunit ribosomal RNA", at positions 502 to 2925 of the family's 2925-position model. The record is from RNAcentral.
UGUGAAGGAAAGGUGAAAAGGACCCCGGGAGGGGAGUGAAAGAGAACCUGAAACCCUGUGUCUACAAGCUGUGGAAGUGCUUUAUAUGCACGACCGCGUACUUUUUGUAGAACGGUCCGGCGAGUUACGCUUACUGGCAAGGUUAAGCACUUCAGGUGUGGAGCCGUAGGGAAACCAAGUCUUAAGAGGGCCAGAGUCAGUAGGAGUAGACCCGAAACCGGGUGAUCUAUCCAUGUCCAGGUUGAAGCUGCCGUAAGAGGUAGUGGAGGACCGAACCCACAUCCGUUGAAAAGGGUGGGGAUGAGGUGUGGAUAGGGGAGAAAUUCCAAUCGAACCCGGAGAUAGCUGGUUCUCCUCGAAAUAGCUUUAGGGCUAGCCUCGAUACAGAUUUGCGGAGGUAGAGCACUGAAUUUCCUAGGGGGCGUCAAAGCCUACCGAAGAAUAUCAAACUCCGAAUGCCGCGUAAUCGAUUAUCGGGAGUCAGACUGCACGAGAUAAGUUGGGCGGUCAAAAGGGAAAGAGCCCAGACCUUCAGUUAAGGUCCCCAAGUGCGCGUUAAGUGGAAAAGGAUGUGGGAUUUCGAAGACAACCAGGAUGUUGGCUCAGAAGCAGCCAUCCAUUCAAAGAGUGCGUAAUAGCUCACUGGUCGAGAGGUCCUGCGCCGAAAAUGUCCGGGGCUGAAACGCGCCACCGAAACUAAGGAACCGAAAGGUUGGUAGAGGAGCAUUGCAUGCGGGAAGAAGCAGUACCGUAAGGAGCUGUGGACUGCAUGGAAGAGAGAAUGCCGGAAUGAGUAGCGAGAAUAAGGUGAGAAUCCUUAUGGCCGAAUAUCCAAGGUUUCCAGAGUAAAGCUGAUCUGCUCUGGGUAAGUCGGGGCCUAAGGCGAGGACGAGAGUCGUAGCCGAUGGACAACAGGUGGAGAUUCCUGUACUGCGGUAUGACAGAACUGUGGGGACACGUAAGGAAAGCGGAAGCCGGGAAUGGAAAGCCCGGUGCAAGCGGGGUACCAGUCACUUUGGCAAAUCCGGGUGGCAAUGGGAAGCCGUGAUGCGGAGUGAAAUAAAGUAACGAAGUCCGUGAGCCAUGCGUCAAGAAAAGCCGCUAUUGUUUAUACCGUACCCGUACCGUAAACCGACACAGGUGGAUGAGGAGAGAAUCCUAAGGCCGGCGGAAGAAGCAUUGUCAAGGAACUCGGCAAAAUGGCCCCGUAACUUAGGGAUAAGGGGUGCCUGGGAAACCAGGCCGCAGAGAAUAGGCUCAAGCAACUGUUUAGCAAAAACACAGGUCUAUGCGAAACCGAAAGGUGAGGUAUAUGGGCUGACGCCUGCCCGGUGCUGGAAGGUUAAGAGGAGAGGUUAGCGCAAGCGAAGCUUUGAAUUUAAGCCCCAGUAAACGGCGGCCGUAACUAUAACGGUCCUAAGGUAGCGAAAUUCCUUGUCGGGUAAGUUCCGACCCGCACGAAAGGCGUAAUGAUUUGAGCGCUGUCUCGACAAUGCAUCCGGUGAAAUUGAAGUACCAGUGAAGAUGCUGGUUACCUGCGCCAGGACGGAAAGACCCCAUGGAGCUUUACUCCAGUCUGGUACUGGGACUCGGUAUUGCAUGUACAGGAUAGGUGGGAGGCUAGGAGAUGGUAACGCCAGUUGCCAUGGAGCCGCUGUUGGGAUACCACCCUUGCAGUAUUGGGUUUCUAACCAGCCGCCGUGACCCGGCGGUGGGACAAUGCCAGACGGGGAGUUUGACUGGGGCGGUCGCCUCCGAAAGGGUAUCGGAGGCGCCCAAAGGUUCCCUCAGAAUGGACGGAAACCAUUCGAAGAGUGCAAAGGCAGAAGGGAGCUUGACUGCGACACCGACGGGUGGAGCAGGUACGAAAGUAGGGCUUAGUGAUCCGGUGGUAUUAAGUGGGAAUGCCAUCGCUCAACGGAUAAAAGCUACCCUGGGGAUAACAGGCUUAUCACUCCCAAGAGUUCACAUCGACGGAGUGGUUUGGCACCUCGAUGUCGGCUCAUCGCAUCCUGGGGCUGUAGUAGGUCCCAAGGGUUGGGCUGUUCGCCCAUUAAAGCGGUACGCGAGCUGGGUUCAGAACGUCGUGAGACAGUUCGGUCCCUAUCCGGCGUGGGCGUAGGAUAUCUGAGAGGAGCUGUCCUUAGUACGAGAGGACCGGGAUGGACGGGCCGCUGGUGCAUCGGUUAGACUGCCAAGUCUACGGCCGAGUAGCCAAGCCCGGAAGGGAUAAACGCUGAAGGCAUCUAAGCGUGAAGCCCCCCUUAAGAUGAGAUAUCCCAUUCGAAAGAAGUAAACCCCCUUGAAGACGACGAGGUAGAUAGGGCAGAGGUGGAAGUGCAGCAAUGCAUGGAGCUGACUGUUACUAAUCGGGUGAGGGCUUGACCAA